Molecule: non-coding RNA, 760 nt
Organism: Myodes glareolus (Bank vole)
Lineage: Eukaryota; Metazoa; Chordata; Mammalia; Rodentia; Cricetidae
Source: RefSeq, a predicted model, not a curated record
CAUUCUCUCGGGAAUAGAUCGGUGCUACCAGGAACAAUCGUGUCUCACGUCAACAGAACCCUAAAUUAUUUAAAUGCCAUGUUCUACAGAUCUUUCAUGUUUUGAGUUCAAAUCUUAUUUCAGCCAAUUAUUGAGCCCCUUUUGUAAGGUGAGACCAUAGUUAUCCCCAAGAGGAGCAGUGACAGAAAGGGUAUGACCCUAACACAGUUUUUGGCAGAAGCCAGAUGUCCCAUAAUUUAGUUUUCUUUGCCUGGCUGGAGGCUCACAGGAACAGGCUGGAACAACAGGGUCCAAAGUAGGUCAUAUAAUUCCUGGUCUGGUAUUCUGUUCUCUGAGUGGCAAUGGCAGGUUGGCUAUAUGUGCUGUUACCAAGUUAAUCAAUUUCAAGUAAGCAUUGAAUUUGAUUUGAUUUGAUUUGAUUUGAUUGUUUGUUUUGGUUUUUUAAGACAGGGUUUCUCUGUGUAGCUUUGGAGUCUGUCCUGGAACUCACUUUGUAGACCAGGCUGGCCUCUGCCUCCUGAGUGCUGGGAUUAAAGGCAUGCACCACCACCGCCCAGCAGGAAACAUGAGGGAGUCAUGAAGAGGGCGUCUGUAUUCCAGAAGGAGCUGAGUUUAAUUUUCAGAACCCACAGAUGGGCAGCUACCAACGGACUGUAACUGCAGUUCUGGGGUCCAAUACACUCUUCUGACCUUCACUGGGACCCUGCCCACUUGCUCCCCGACCAUAAAUAAAAUAAUAAACAAAUAUUCUAACAAAAAA